This 205-nucleotide long non-coding RNA is filed under the name Gossypium barbadense (sea-island cotton). RNAcentral describes it as "long non-coding RNA (GBAR_LNC010282)". The record is from RNAcentral. Lineage: Eukaryota; Viridiplantae; Streptophyta; Magnoliopsida; Malvales; Malvaceae.
AAACCUCAUUUUCACAAUUUAGCCCAAAUUACUCAAAUUCAUUAAAAAUUCAAAUACAAAACAUAUUAAUCUAACACAUGUCUUUCAUUUUUCAUCACUUGACAUCACACAGCUCACAGUUUCAUCAAUGGCUCAACUCAAAAUCUUCAUCAAUUUCUUAAAUUCAAACAUAGGUUAGCUAGAGUACUAAGCAACAAUCACAAAA